GGUUAUUUCCUUUCUUAUUUGUGGAUGCCAUAGAAAUGUAUUUCUUAGGACGAAGUUUGACCCAUUUUUCAUAUAUUUCUUUACCUUCUAAGCUUUGGCACAAGUUAAUUAUUGCAAUCCCGCAAAGACCUUUCUUUCAUCACCUGAUGUCACAUUACGUACUAGCUAGGCAAUGUGUGGGAAUUUUUCUACUGCAGUCUUUCCUUCCUAUUCAUAUCUUUCACCAACAUUCCUAAACUUAAAUCCUCUGUUAGCUACUAGUUAAUUGCAAAGAUCUGAUCUCUGAGCCUCUCACUCUCAGCCUCAGGUGCUGCUUCUUGGGAACACUAAUUAAGGGUGACUUCUAGUUAUCUUCAAACUUAAGGAGAAAGAGUUGCAGAAAACAGUCAGUAUCUGCAGGUGCAGCAGCAUCAAGAUUCACACCGCCUAAUUUGCUAGGACUUCAGGACUGCACACGCUUAAUUAUACAUACAUAUAUACAUAUAUGUUAGCUCUUUGUGGAGUGCGGAAUAAAGUUCUAUUUUAGAUGUGGGAAUCUUGAUGAUGCUGCAUCAGCAAAUACAUGACUAGAAUUCCCGAUUCAGAUCGAAGGGAAGCAUGCCAUGAGAGGAAGAAGAUUUCAACAAGAUAGGACUCUCCCAACUUGUCCACUACUGGAUAAAGAAACGAAAAUAAAAUAAAAUUCAUGAAUCCCAUCAUGAGUGUCGUGUCGUCUCUCUUUGUAUAUAUUAUCUUAUUUUCCUUUAAUCUGAAAAACUAGUUUUUUCUUUCUUUCAAGAAUUUCGGUGGUAUAUCUGAUAUGACGAUAAUCAGUUACAAGUAUUUCUGUGUUGGGGUGACUGAUCUUUUGUGUCUUCGCUUCUGCAUAACUUUGUUUUUGAUA
Glycine soja is the source of this 883-nucleotide long non-coding RNA. RefSeq lists it as uncharacterized. The record is from RefSeq and is a predicted model, not a curated record. The transcript has 3 exons. Lineage: Eukaryota; Viridiplantae; Streptophyta; Magnoliopsida; Fabales; Fabaceae.